ACCGGUCGUUGGGCGUCGGUUACGCGGGGGGAUCGACGAUUCUCCUGGCGUUGCUGGGGGCGUCGCUUUGGCUCUGGUACCGGACGACGGGUUCC
This 95-nucleotide transfer RNA is filed under the name Pandoraea morbifera. Its description in RNAcentral is "Pandoraea sp. LMG 31116 tRNA-Val". The record is from RNAcentral. Lineage: Bacteria; Pseudomonadati; Pseudomonadota; Betaproteobacteria; Burkholderiales; Burkholderiaceae.